This is a long non-coding RNA of Zingiber officinale, 290 nucleotides long. RefSeq lists it as uncharacterized. The record is from RefSeq and is a predicted model, not a curated record. The transcript has 2 exons. Lineage: Eukaryota; Viridiplantae; Streptophyta; Magnoliopsida; Zingiberales; Zingiberaceae.
UGUUGUAUCACUCUUUGCUUAUUCCUUUGCUGUAGUAUCAACUUGAAAUAUGAGAAUAAUCUUUAAGCUCAAUCACAAUUCAAGAUUUAUCAGCAUUUUGAAGAAGAUGGUGUUUCAACAUUGCUCUAAAAGGAAAGUGAAAGUGAGGAUGAUGGUCUUGACAUGGGUGAUGAUGAUGAUGUUGAGGAACCUGAAAAUGAACCAGAGGCUGUUAGGAAAGAACCAACCAUUAAGAAACCUGCUCCUGUUUCAGCACCACCCAAAGAUGUUGAAAGGCAACUGUCAAAGAA